Molecule: long non-coding RNA, 456 nt
Organism: Xenopus tropicalis (tropical clawed frog)
Lineage: Eukaryota; Metazoa; Chordata; Amphibia; Anura; Pipidae
Exons: 3
Source: RefSeq, a predicted model, not a curated record
CUUGUUUCUGAAUAAAUGUAAUAUGACUGUGCGGUGUUUCUUGACAAGGCUUCUGUCAGGAUUGGAUUUGUGCACAAUCAUACACCUUCUCAACCCCAAAUCACAAAAACCAAGACCCCCACUGAAUGUACAGAUGGGGAGAACAUACAAAGACCUUGCACAGAGUGGCCUGGAUAAAAUCAAACCAGAACCCAAAUGCUGCCAAUGCCUCCACUACACUGGCCAUCAGUUGCUUGAUAGGGGAAUCAUAAGUUCUGAUCAGUCCCCCUGUUGGCCUGAACAACAAAACAAUGGAAAGCUCGUCUGAUCAGUUGGAUAUUGUAGGAUCAACCAGCAAGUGGCCACCACCAAACUUCAAGGUAAGUCAGGAACACCUUUAGAGCAUGGCAAAAUAAUGAUAAUAUGUUCACCUUGCAAAUAUUUCCAUUACACAAAUAUAAAAAUGAUAUGAUGGCU